This 253-nucleotide ribosomal RNA is filed under the name uncultured bacterium. RNAcentral describes it as "partial 16S ribosomal RNA". It matches the Rfam family "Bacterial small subunit ribosomal RNA", at positions 524 to 776 of the family's 1533-position model. The record is from RNAcentral.
UACAGAGGGUGCGAGCGUUGUCCGGAAUCACUGGGCGUAAAGGGUGUGUAGGUGGCGCCGUAAGUCGGGUGUGAAAUCCUGAGGCUUAACCUCAGAAUUGCAUUCGAUACUGCAGUGCUUGAGGACUGGAGAGGAGACUGGAAUUCAUGGUGUAGCAGUGAAAUGCGUAGAGAUCAUGAGGAAGACCAGUGGCGAAGGCGGGUCUCUGGACAGUUCCUGACACUGAGGCACGAAGGCCAGGGGAGCAAACGGG